This 1862-nucleotide ribosomal RNA is filed under the name Escherichia coli. RNAcentral describes it as "partial 23S ribosomal RNA". It matches the Rfam family "Bacterial large subunit ribosomal RNA", at positions 1085 to 2925 of the family's 2925-position model. Lineage: Bacteria; Pseudomonadati; Pseudomonadota; Gammaproteobacteria; Enterobacterales; Enterobacteriaceae. The record is from RNAcentral.
CCAGACAGCCAGGAUGUUGGCUUAGAAGCAGCCAUCAUUUAAAGAAAGCGUAAUAGCUCACUGGUCGAGUCGGCCUGCGCGGAAGAUGUAACGGGGCUAAACCAUGCACCGAAGCUGCGGCAGCGACACUAUGUGUUGUUGGGUAGGGGAGCGUUCUGUAAGCCUGUGAAGGUGUACUGUGAGGUAUGCUGGAGGUAUCAGAAGUGCGAAUGCUGACAUAAGUAACGAUAAAGCGGGUGAAAAGCCCGCUCGCCGGAAGACCAAGGGUUCCUGUCCAACGUUAAUCGGGGCAGGGUGAGUCGACCCCUAAGGCGAGGCCGAAAGGCGUAGUCGAUGGGAAACAGGUUAAUAUUCCUGUACUUGGUGUUACUGCGAAGGGGGGACGGAGAAGGCUAUGUUGGCCGGGCGACGGUUGUCCCGGUUUAAGCGUGUAGGCUGGUUUUCCAGGCAAAUCCGGAAAAUCAAGGCUGAGGCGUGAUGACGAGGCACUACGGUGCUGAAGCAACAAAUGCCCUGCUUCCAGGAAAAGCCUCUAAGCAUCAGGUAACAUCAAAUCGUACCCCAAACCGACACAGGUGGUCAGGUAGAGAAUACCAAGGCGCUUGAGAGAACUCGGGUGAAGGAACUAGGCAAAAUGGUGCCGUAACUUCGGGAGAAGGCACGCUGAUAUGUAGGUGAAGUCCCUUGCGGAUGGAGCUGAAAUCAGUCGAAGAUACCAGCUGGCUGCAACUGUUUAUUAAAAACACAGCACUGUGCAAACACGAAAGUGGACGUAUACGGUGUGACGCCUGCCCGGUGCCGGAAGGUUAAUUGAUGGGGUUAGCGGUAACGCGAAGCUCUUGAUCGAAGCCCCGGUAAACGGCGGCCGUAACUAUAACGGUCCUAAGGUAGCGAAAUUCCUUGUCGGGUAAGUUCCGACCUGCACGAAUGGCGUAAUGAUGGCCAGGCUGUCUCCACCCGAGACUCAGUGAAAUUGAACUCGCUGUGAAGAUGCAGUGUACCCGCGGCAAGACGGAAAGACCCCGUGAACCUUUACUAUAGCUUGACACUGAACAUUGAGCCUUGAUGUGUAGGAUAGGUGGGAGGCUUUGAAGUGUGGACGCCAGUCUGCAUGGAGCCGGCCUUGAAAUACCACCCUUUAAUGUUUGAUGUUCUAACGUUGGCCCCUGAUCGGGGUUGCGGACAGUGUCUGGUGGGUAGUUUGACUGGGGCGGUCUCCUCCUAAAGAGUAACGGAGGAGCACGAAGGUUGGCUAAUCCUGGUCGGACAUCAGGAGGUUAGUGCAAUGGCAUAAGCCAGCUUGACUGCGAGCGUGACGGCGCGAGCAGGUGCGAAAGCAGGUCAUAGUGAUCCGGUGGUUCUGAAUGGAAGGGCCAUCGCUCAACGGAUAAAAGGUACUCCGGGGAUAACAGGCUGAUACCGCCCAAGAGUUCAUAUCGACGGCGGUGUUUGGCACCUCGAUGUCGGCUCAUCACAUCCUGGGGCUGAAGUAGGUCCCAAGGGUAUGGCUGUUCGCCAUUUAAAGUGGUACGCGAGCUGGGUUUAGAACGUCGUGAGACAGUUCGGUCCCUAUCUGCCGUGGGCGCUGGAGAACUGAGGGGGGCUGCUCCUAGUACGAGAGGACCGGAGUGGACGCAUCACUGGUGUUCGGGUUGUCAUGCCAAUGGCACUGCCCGGUAGCUAAAUGCGGAAGAGAUAAGUGCUGAAAGCAUCUAAGCACGAAACUUGCCCCGAGAUGAGUUCUCCCUGACUCCUUGAGAGUCCUGAAGGAACGUUGAAGACGACGACGUUGAUAGGCCGGGUGUGUAAGCGCAGCGAUGCGUUGAGCUAACCGGUACUAAUGAACCGUGAGGCUUAACCUU